Molecule: ribosomal RNA, 490 nt
Filed under: uncultured bacterium
Lineage: Bacteria
Description: partial 16S ribosomal RNA
Rfam family: Bacterial small subunit ribosomal RNA
Source: RNAcentral
AUUGAACGCUGGCGGCAGGCCUAACACAUGCAAGUCGAACGGUAACAGGAAGAAGCUUGCUUCUUUGCUGACGAGUGGCGGACGGGUGAGUUAUGUCUGGGAAACUGCCUGAUGGAGGGGGAUAACUACUGGAAACGGUAGCUACUACCGCCUAACGUCGCAAGACCAAAGAGGGGGACCUUCCGGCCUCUUGCCAUCGGAUGUGCCCAGAUGGGAUUAGCUAGUAGGUGGGGUAACGGCUCACCUAGGCGACGAUCUCUAGCUGGUCUGAGAGGAUGACCAGCCACACUGGAACUGAGACACGGUCCAGACUCCUACGGGAGGCAGCAGUGGGGAAUAUUGCACAAUGGGCGAAAGCCUGAUGCAGCCAUGCCGCGUGUAUGAAGAAGGCCUUCGGGUUGUAAAGUACUUUCAGCGGGGAGGAAGGGAGUAAAGUUAAUACCCCGCUGUUCUGACGGUACCCAAAGAAUAAGCACCGGCUAACUUCGUG